Molecule: non-coding RNA, 3071 nt
Organism: Coturnix japonica (Japanese quail)
Lineage: Eukaryota; Metazoa; Chordata; Aves; Galliformes; Phasianidae
Source: RefSeq, a predicted model, not a curated record
GACAGGGUUCUGAGCAACCUGAUGUAGCUGUAGGUGUCUGUUCAUUGGAGGGGAGUUGGACCAGAUAGUCUCUAAGGUGCCCUUCCAACUCAAACGAUUUUAUGCUUCUGUGACAUUGAUACUAUUCUAAGGUAAGUGUGUGUGUUUGUGUAUACAUCUAUGUACAACAGGCAUAUGAAUGAAUUGCGAAUGAAUUCAAGACCUUCAUCUCCACAAACAGGGGGUCAAAAGUGAAAUAAAACAAAAUCAUGCAGUGGUUAGAGCAAGCCACUAGGGGAAACAUAGUCACAUGCAUUGAACCACUGUCCCUGACAAGAAAUGUACAAUGAGAGGGAUAGAUGUAAUCCUGAUAAGGUUGGUCUCAAAGAAUCAGCAGAUUAAACGUCUGAGAAUUCAACUUCGAGAUCCCAGUAUGAGCAUAUAUACACGUGUGUGCUUAAUGCUGCAUAUCUGUGGAUUGGUUUUGAUUCCUUCUAUGCACGCUAAGUUUGUGCACAAAGCUUUGUAGGUUUAAUGCUUCUCUUUCAAACCAAACAGUGCUGCGAUGCUGUAUACUCACUGUUUGCUUUUUUAACAUCCUUCUCUAUAACACUGAUACUUCAUUUUGCACACGUGAGUGACUCUGUGAACAAAAAUAGCUCCACUGCUUUCAUAUCUGUAGGUGGGACAGCUCACUGCAUUAUGUGUUCACACCUGUACUUUAGAACUGGCAUUUAAACUUCUGAUUUCUCUGUAAAACACAGUAUGGUGGAUUUUCUAAUUUAUACACUAUUUCUGUGCUUGGUUUAUAUCCUGAAAAAAAAUCAAGCAGGCUUUCCCUCGUCCAUAAGCUUCUACAUGUUGUCCAUUACCUAUUUUUGCCUUUACUAAGCUUCACAGUGAAGUGAAAUCAACAUCAUUCUUCUCCCGUUCCUAUGCUAACCCGCGCUCAUCCCUCCCGGAUGAAUCCCAUGGAUUUCCCGGCGCAGCCUGAACGUAGCACACAGUUCUGAGGAUGCCCAGGUUCAUACUCAGCAAAUCCCACUCAUCACUGGUGACCCCGUGGAUCUACUAGGGCCGCAUGAAGGGAUGAACGCAGAGCUGUGGUCGUCCCAUAGAGAAACUAUGAGAAAUAACUCUCAGCUUCAUAAUGUUAGUACAUAGUACUACAUAGCCUUCUCCGCCCCCUCCUCAUCCUCCCACCCCAUUUUUAUUAACAGUGACCCCUCUCUCAAGCAGCGAUGACAGCAGGUGGAGAAGAGGAAGCGCUGCCAACUGCCUCCCAGCAUUAAGAAGAGCUCUCAGGGCUUUCGCCCCGAGAAUUUGCUCAUGUAAAUAACGCGCCACAUCGCUGCUCGGCACGCCGGGUAUAUUUUAAGCAGGGCCACACGUGAUAGGGGUGUACGAGCGCUCUGUGCAUGCCGACGUGGAUACGCCGCUGUGCGCGCUUUAAAGACCCGCUGGCGGCGCGGGGUGCCCAGGCCUGACGGCACUGCAGCCCGUGCAGAGAUGACCGGCUGCUCCCAUAUCAAGGGAACCUCUCUCACAAACAGCCAUUUCUAUCAGCUGCCCGUGGGCCGCGUCCCGUACACGAGUGGGAAUCCAUUACAAUGGAAGUUUCAUAAAAGCGAGCGAAAUUACAAAUGAACGACGCUGAGAAACACCCCCCGGGGGGCUCUUGGAGACCCCGCUGUGCCCCUGCCGCCGCCCGCCCCGCGCUGCCCCGCGGGCCCCGCUCCGCGCCGCCGUGCCGCCUCCUCGCGUUAAUCCGCGGCACAAUGCCGCGGGCAAUAAGCGGCCCUUCCUGCUGCCGGCUGGGGGGGUAGGGAGCAGAGAGUUUAAACUUUUUAUUCCAUAGAGGGGGAUUAAAAAAAAAAAAAACAAAAAAAAAAACAGAAAGAAAGAAAAUAAAAAGAAAGGGAAAAAAAAAGAAAACAUGGCUGGGGGAGGGGAAGCACCUGGGAAUGGGUCUCCCGCUCCCCCCAGGGAAAGCAGCUCCCCUCGACCGCCCUGUAGCCCGAUCGCUGCUGGCCCCUGGAUAAACACGCGAGCACAAAAGCAGCCCCGAGCGCCGUGUGACCGCGCACGGAGCUGCCUCCUGCGAGAACAGGCUGCGGCCGGGCCCGGAGAGGGGCGCGGGGCUCCGCACGGCGCCGGGGCCCGACGGGAGCGGGGCCGGGGCCGGGAGCGGGGCCGCGAUUGUGGUGGAAGCGGCGGUAGCGCUGCCCUUUUGAAUGCCUCCCGCAGCUCGGAGUGCUGGCAGGGCGCUGGGAGCGCCAGUGAAUGUAGCCCCGCAGAGCCAAUGAGCUGGGACCGGAUGCGAUAUAUCCUCUGGGACAACAACUGCUCUGUUCCUCCUCAGAUCCACAUGACGCCAUUUACUGCUGCUUUUGCAGAGAGAUCACCCUACCUCCUCCGGAAAGAAAAAGAGAGAGAGGGAGAGAGAGAGCGAGCAGAAAAACGCCGAGCCCCUCCAGCUCAGAUCUCAAACCUUCCUCCUCCUCCACCUCCUCCAAACACACAACAACAACCACCACCACAAAUCCGCUGCGCUCCCCAAACACCCCCCCCACCCCCCCGCUCGCAAACCGCAGAGCCGCCUGCAACACACUCACACACACACACACACACACACACACGCUCGCAGAGGGAGCGAGAAAGCCGAGGGAGAGAGGGAGAGGAGCGUGCGGCGAGCGGCGUUCGGCAGCGCGGCCCCCCCCCCCCCCGCCCGGCUGCUGCUGCUGUUGCUUCCUCGGAUGAGUUCGCUGGAAGAAAGCUUUGCCAUCGGAUUUUAGAUCCACUUGAUUUUGUUUUCUGUGGCUUUCUCCUUCCUCUCGAUCCUUUGCAACGGCAGCAAGAAAAAAAAAAAAAAAAAAAAGGGGAAAAAAAAAAAAAAGAAAGGUGACUCGGUGCUGGCGGUUCGGCCUCCUGUUCAUUGAGGGAGAAAAAAAGGAAAGUGUGUGAGAAGGCUGGAUUUAUUUGCAAACCGCAGGAAGAAGAAAAUACAACAGAGAGAGGGGUUUGGUGCAGCGCCGCGAUCACGGAUUUCAGAUGUGUUCUAAGCCUGCUGGGGUGAGCACGCUUCCGGGCAG